RNAcentral lists this long non-coding RNA (5697 nucleotides) under Nicotiana benthamiana. RNAcentral describes it as "long non-coding RNA (NBEN_LNC013793)". The record is from RNAcentral. Lineage: Eukaryota; Viridiplantae; Streptophyta; Magnoliopsida; Solanales; Solanaceae.
AAACACAUAAACAUAUAAGGCUCAAGUAUACCUUCUUCAAACAAAACAAUCCAAUAGCAUGACUUAAACAAAUGAGUAAUGUCGGAUUCUAAAAAAAAUACUUGAGAGAAGAAGAGAUGGUUGUGUUGCAGCAGGCUUGGCUUAUUACACGACUCAAUUAGGAAACAGAAUGGGGUCUAUCUACUGAUUGUAACACUUAAACAAAUAAAGAGGCCAGUUCAUUUUUAUUUAUAUUACUUAAGGCUUGCUUAGAUAUUUGGACGGGGCCCAAUAGACAUGAUAUCUACUGAGUUCAGAAGGCAAUGAGACAGUAAAAAAUCUAAACGAAUUGUUUGAAAUCCUAUAGGCAUGCUUGCUAAACCUUGUUAAGUAAGGGAAUUAUAUUAUUAAGAAGAAGUUCGGAAUGGACAAAAUUAAAUUAGACUGGUUACAUAUUGUGCAGGUGAUAGUAUCUAAUAUUACGGAUUUUAAUCCCUAUGAACAUGAUAUCUAACAUUGCAUGUGAUAGACACAAACAAGAUUUAUUUAAGAAUCCAUAUAGGCAUGAUUUGUAUAUGUUACCGUAACAUGUUACUGGUUUAUACCCACUUGGUCCCUAAACAAGAUAUCUAAACGGUGACAAACAUGCAGAACUUUAGAAUGAAAUCCUAUAUGUAGGUUAUCUCGGCGUGAUAUUAAACAUGCAUAAUAAAUAAAUCUCUAUAGGCAUGAUGUCUAAGGUGCAGAAUCAAAAUACCCUAUAGGCAUGGUUUCUAAAUGCAGUUUGAAUAUGCAGAAUUAAAAUAUUCCUAUAGGUAUAUUUUCUACCCUUGCAUGCAUAGUCACUCGACCCUUUUCACUAGCCAACCCCAAAUGUUUAUUACAACUUAUUACAAACCAUGAAUACUAAAUACAUAAGAAAAAUACAAAGAAAAGAAUUACAACUAGAGGAAGCCUAAUUCUUGACUUCCUGUCUAAGUUGUGAGAUAAACCAACUCAAAUACCACUGAUCCAAAGCCUUUCUCAGACUAGAGUGUGUUAGAGUUCCCUAAGGGCCUCAAUAGGCCCCCGGGCAGUGCUCACACCCAAGUUCCAUAACCAGACUAGGGAUAAGUGCAGUGUGAAAAUGUCAUCCCUCUUGUGUCAAAGUUCAGAGGGAGUUCAUGGGUCCCGAGGCAAGGCUCACAUGAGGGGGUAGAACUUAAUUCUAAGAAGAGAGUGCUAGUACAGAAACAGAUAUUUAAGAACUAAGGAAGUAAAGAAGAGGGAAAGAGGUGCUGGGAACAACCAUUAACACCUCAAACCAGUUAAUAAUUUCACAACAAAGGGGCAGGGGUUUGAGAAUCCAUUGCAAGGAGCCUAUAUACCUAGGCAUAAGUUAAUUCUGGGCAUGCACAACAAUAGGGAGUGAUGUCAUGCUUGUAAAAUCAACCAGAAAACACAACAUAUAAGGGUAACAUGAAGGUUAUGAUCCUAGGAGGAACAAGUUUAAGUCAUGUUCAACAAUAUUUGAUGUUGUUAUGCCCCAAACAAACCAUAAGUAUCAAACACAUUGGGGUAGGGAUUUAGUAUUAUAAUACAUUGAUUCAGAACAGGAGAAAAGAAAGUAUAGCAUGCUAAAUAAAGGUACUGAAUUAGAUACAAGUAGUAGGAAGACAAAAAGGCAAGAACAUUAAGUAACCAUGUUGUUGUUGAUGCUAAAAGCUUGAUUAUAACAUACCAGUUAAAGAAACAAAAUGUAGUGAAGAAAGGUAGCAAGACUUCAAAAUAUAGCUUUGGCUUUUAGCCAGCUAAACAAGCCACUGUAACAAGUAGUAUAGCAAAAAAGAGAGUGUUUUGAGUGUAAGUGUCAAUUCUGAACUAAAAGUGUUCGUGUGUUUGUGUUAAUGAGAGAGUAUGUAUACAUAGUAGUUCAAAACCAUGUAAAGUAGGGCCGAAUUACAAUUGUAUAGUAAUUAUGGAACUUAGAACCAAUUAGAACCAACAUCAGCACAAGUACUCACUUAAUUUAAGGGAAUCAGUUCAAACGCUAAGAACAAGUAACAAAUAAGGAAAGAAAUCAAUGUGUAGACUAAAAUUAUUCGAACAUAUCAGGCAUAGAGUUAACUAUUAGGGCUAGGUUCAGAAAAACUCUAAUUAGGCAAAUAGACAGUAAGAAUCAAGCAGCCAAGGUAAGGGAAUCAAUCAGAUUGAGUAGAAAAGUAGGGAUCGAAGGUCUAAAGGAAAGUGUUCAAAUUAGACCAAGAAAUGGGGUAAUCAGAAUCAAUCAGAGAGAAAGUCAUGUGUCAAUAUUUUGCCUAAAAAUAAAGUAAGACACAGAUAGUCAAGAGUCGACACACAAACCUAGCAAACACGAGAGUCAAAUAAUACUGAUUUGAUGAGAAACAUACAGGUUUUAACAGUCAAGAUGAACACAAGCACGCAGAAUCAGUGCAAGUUUGUAGGUUAAGAAGCUGAGUAGAAACAAAUCAAGGCAAGAUAGUCACGAAGAAUCACAGAAACUCAAAAACGAGAACCGACCAGUCAUGCUAAUACACAAAACCAAACAAAGAAACCCCCUAAAAAUUAGGUCUUUCAACAUAAACAAGUUAAAUAGAAGAUAGAAACCUAGAAUUAGAAGAAUCACUCAAAGGGAACAAGAGAUUUCAAAAAGAACUUCUGUACUUAACAAUCUCAAACCCAAAACCACAGGAUUUUUAACAAUAGAAAAGUUUUAAUUAAAAAAAGAAUAAAUAGGAAGAUCAGACAAAAACUUAGGCAAACAAAUAUUCAUUUAAUAACAGGUAAAAUAAAUAGUUUUAACAUGCAAACUCAGGCGGAAAGGUAAUACGAGCAAACACUGCAAAACAUACCAAAAAUCAAAGAAAAGUUUCAAAAUAACUUAAUAGAAUCUUAGUUAGAAAGAUAAGGAGUUUUGAAAGUGGAGUUUUAAAAAACACUUUCGAGAAAAGUGCUUAAAAAUUCAGAGCAGACAUAGAUAUGAAACAAAUCUAAGAGAAAUCGAGAGAACCUUGAAAUUUAGGGUUUCAGAAGAACCCGAAGUGGUGAGAAAGGCUUUGAAAACCAUCGAUCUAAGUAGGAGAGUCGAGAGUCACUCUCGAAUAGCCAUGGCUGGUCGAAGAAAGGUCAGAGAUGACCAGGGAACUGGGUUUGCAUUUGAAGAGUCGCCACCUAUUGAUUAAGGUGCAUUAGGACACCAAUAGAGAUUCAACUCUGAGUUUUUUUUUUGAAUAACAACAGAUUGGGUAAGGGCUUGAAAUUAUCCCAAGGGGAAGGUGUUAUGCACCCUCAGAAUCCACUAGUCUAGUUACCGGCUAUACAGUUAUUAUGAAUUUAACAAAUAGACAAGUAUGGGCUCAAAUAUUAGGGGAUUUAAACACAUAAAAGAAAGAACAUUUGAAAUGAGAGUUUAAAAAAUAAAGAGUUUGAAAAUAAAAGGAAAGGGGUCCUCGGUUUGUAUUUAAUAUGGAUCACCCCACAUAAUGUCCGGUAAUCAUUCCUCAAUGAGGGGCUACACGUGACAUUAUUGCGUGGUCAUAUUCAUAUCUACCCUUCCCAUCCCAUUAAGGUAUUAAAGCGCGGAUUGGUCUCGAUUACUUAUUACAUGCUAUUACCCGUCCCAUUCUUAUCAGUCCCGGAGGAACUUAGGACUACUAAUCCUAAAAGGGAUGGAUACUAGGCUUAUUUGAAAUUUCAAAGGUAAAAAUUCAAAAGCAACAUACAAAACAUAUAAAGACUGCACAUUAAAGGGGAAACAUAUAAAUAUAUAAAGCUCAAGUAUACCUUCUCCAAACAAAAACAAUGCAAUAGCACGACUUAAACAAAUGUGUAAAGUCUGAUUCUAAAAAAAUACUUGAGGGAAUAAGAGAUUGUUUUGUUGCAGCAGGCCUAGCUUAUUACACGGCUCAGUUAGGAAACUGAAUCGGGUCUACCUACUGAUUGUAAAACUUGAACAAAUAACAGAGGUGAGUUCAGUUUUAUUUAUAUUGCCUAAGGCUUGCCUAAAUAUUUAGACGGGGUCCUAUAGACAUGAUAUCUGCUGAGUUCAGAAGGCGAUGAGAUAGUAAAAACUCGAAAUGAAUUUUUUGAAAUCAUAUAGGCAUGCUUGCUAAACCUUGUUAAGUAAGGGAAUUAGAUUAUUAAGAAGAAAUUCAGAAUGGACAAAAUUAAAUUAGACUGGUUACAAAUUUUGCAGGUGAUAGUAUAUACUACUACAGAUUUUAAUCCCUAUAAACACGAUAUCUAACAUUGCAUGUGAGUAAAAACAAACAAGAUUUAUGUAAGAAUCCCUAUAGGCAUGUUUUCUAUACGUUACUGAUUUUAACACAUUACAGGGUUAUCCACUUGGGCCCUAAAAUAGGAUAUCUAAACGGUUACAAACAUGCAGAACUUUAGAAUGAAAUCCUAUAGGCAGGUUAUCUAUGCGUGAUAUUAACCAUGCAAAGUAAGUUGAUAUCUAUAGGAAUAAUGUCUAAGGUGCAGAAUAGAAAUACCCCAUAGGCAUGAUUUCUAUAUGCAGAAUUAAAAUAGUCCUAUAGGCAUAUUUUCUACCUUUGCAUGCAUUGUCACCUGACCCUUUUCACUAGCUAGCCCCAAAUGUUUAUUACAACUUAUUACAAACCAGGAAUACUAAAUACAUUAGAAAAAUACAAAGAAAAGAAUUACAACCAGAGGAAGUGUGAUUCUUGACUUCCUGUCUGAGUUAUGAGAUAAACUAACUCAAAGACCACUGAUCCAAAGCCUUUCUCAGACUUGAGUGUAUUGGAGUUCCAUAAGGGCCUAAAUAGGCCCCCGAGCAGUGCUCACAACCAAGUUCCAUAACCAGAAUAGGGAUAAGUGCAGUGUGGAAAUGCCAGCCCUCAUGUGUCCAAGUUUAGAGGGAGCUCAUGGGUCCCAUGGCAAGGCUCACUGAGGGGGGUAGAACUUAAGUCUAAGAUUAGGGUGCAAGUACAGAAACAGAGCUUUAAGAACUAAGGGAGUUAAGAAGAGGGAAAGAGGUAUUGGGAACAACCAUUAACACUUCAGACAAGUUGAUAAUUUCAUACCAAGGGGGCGGGGGUUUGGGAAUACAUUGCAAGGAGACUAUAUACUUAGGCAUAAGUUAAUUCUGGGCAUGCACAACAAUAGAGAGUGUUCUCAUGCUUGUAUCAAUCAGAACACAUAACACAUAAGGGUAACAUAGAGGUUAUGAUCCUAGGAGGACCAAGUUUAAGUCAUGUUCGGAAAUAUUCGAUGUUGUCAUGUCCCAAAGCAACUAUAUGUAUCAAAAACAUUGGGGUAGGUAUUUAGGAUUCAUAAUACAUUAAUUCAGAAUAGGAGAAAAGAAAUUAUAGAAUGCUAAAUAAAGGUACCGAAUUAGAUACAAGCAGUAGGCAUACAAGAAGGCAAGAACAUUGAGUAAUCAUAUUGUUGUUGAUGCUGAAAACUUAAUUAGAACAUACCUGUCAAAGAAGUAAAAUGCUGUAAAGAAAUGUAGCAGGACUUUGAAAUAUAGCUUUGGCUUUCAGCCAGCUAAACAGGCCACAAUACAAGUAGUAAAGCAAGAGAGAGUUUUUUGACUGUAAGUGUGAGUUUAGAACUAAAAGUGUUUGUGUGUUUGUGUUAAAGAGAGAGUAUGUAUAUAUAGUAGUUCAAAACUAUGUAAAAUAAGGCAAUAAUUACAAUUGUAUAGUAAUUAUGGAACUCAGAACCAAUUAGAAUCAAAAUCAAUACAAGUAC